Molecule: ribosomal RNA, 736 nt
Filed under: uncultured Corynebacterium sp.
Lineage: Bacteria; Bacillati; Actinomycetota; Actinomycetes; Mycobacteriales; Corynebacteriaceae
Description: bacterial SSU rRNA
Rfam family: Bacterial small subunit ribosomal RNA
Source: RNAcentral
GAUGAACGCUGGCGGCGUGCUUAACACAUGCAAGUCGAACGGAAAGGCCGAAGCUUGCUUCGGUACUCGAGUGGCGAACGGGUGAGUAACACGUGGGUGAUCUGCCCUGUACUUCGGGAUAAGCUUGGGAAACUGGGUCUAAUACCGGAUAUGACGAUCUCUUGGAUGGGGUUGUGGAAAGCUUUUGCGGUAUGGGAUGAGCUCGCGGCCUAUCAGCUUGUUGGUGGGGUAAUGGCCUACCAAGGCGUCGACGGGUAGCCGGCCUGAGAGGGUGUACGGCCACAUUGGGACUGAGAUACGGCCCAGACUCCUACGGGAGGCAGCAGUGGGGAAUAUUGCACAAUGGGCGCAAGCCUGAUGCAGCGACGCCGCGUGGGGGAUGACGGCCUUCGGGUUGUAAACUCCUUUCGCAACCGACGAAGCUUUUGUGACGGUAGGUUGAGAAGAAGCACCGGCUAACUACGUGCCAGCAGCCGCGGUAAUACGUAGGGUGCGAGCGUUGUCCGGAAUUACUGGGCGUAAAGAGCUCGUAGGUGGUUUGUCGCGUCGUUUGUGGAAUACCGCAGCUUAACUGCGGGGUUGCAGGCGAUACGGGCAUAACUUGAGUGCUGUAGGGGAGACUGGAAUUCCUGGUGUAGCGGUGGAAUGCGCAGAUAUCAGGAGGAACACCGAUGGCGAAGGCAGGUCUCUGGGCAGUAACUGACGCUGAGGAGCGAAAGCAUGGGGAGCGAACAGG